UACAGAGGAGCCAAGCGUUGUCCGGAUUGACUGGGCGUAAAGCGCACGCAGGCGGCACCGCGCGUGGGGUGUGAAAUCUGGCCGCUUAACGGCCAGGCGCCAUCCCAUACGGCGGAGCUGGAGUGAUGCAGAGGUCGGUGGAAUUGCCGGUGUAGCGGUGAAAUGCGUAGAGAUCGGGAGGAAGGCCGGUGGCGAAGGCGGCGCUCUGGAACGUUUCUGACACUGAGGCUCGAAAGCGUGGGGAGCAAACAGG
RNAcentral lists this ribosomal RNA (253 nucleotides) under uncultured bacterium. Its description in RNAcentral is "partial 16S ribosomal RNA". It matches the Rfam family "Bacterial small subunit ribosomal RNA", at positions 524 to 776 of the family's 1533-position model. The record is from RNAcentral.